AUUGAACGCUGGCGGCAUGCCUUACACAUGCAAGUCGAACGGCAGCACGGGUGCUUGCACCUGGUGGCGAGUGGCGAACGGGUGAGUAAUACAUCGGAACAUGUCCUGUAGUGGGGGAUAGCCCGGCGAAAGCCGGAUUAAUACCGCAUACGAUCUACGGAUGAAAGCGGGGGACCUUCGGGCCUCGCGCUAUCGGGUUGGCCGAUGGCGGAUUAGCUAGUUGGUGGGGUAAAGGCCUACCAAGGCGACGAUCAGUAGCUGGUCUGAGAGGACGACCAGCCACACUGGGACUGAGACACGGCCCAGACUCCUACGGGAGGCAGCAGUGGGGAAUUUUGGACAAUGGGCGAAAGCCUGAUCCAGCAAUGCCGCGUGUGUGAAGAAGGCCUUCGGGUUGUAAAGCACUUUUGUCCGGAAAGAAAUCCUUGGGCCUAAUACGGUCGGGGGAUGACGGUACCGGAAGAAUAAGCACCGGCUAACUACGUG
RNAcentral lists this ribosomal RNA (486 nucleotides) under uncultured bacterium. RNAcentral describes it as "partial 16S ribosomal RNA". It matches the Rfam family "Bacterial small subunit ribosomal RNA", at positions 30 to 507 of the family's 1533-position model. The record is from RNAcentral.